ACAAGCGGAGGAACAUGUGGUUAAUUCGAUGAUACGCGAGGAACCUUACCUGGCUUAAAUGUAGAGUGCAUUUUUAGAGAUAGAAAUUCCCUUCGGGGCUUCUGCAAGGUGCUGCAUGGUUGUCGUCAGCUCGUGCCGUGAGGUGUCGGGUUAAGUCCCAUAACGAGCGCAACCCUUAUCGUUAGUUGCCAUCUGGUAAUGCAGGGGACUCUAGCGAAACUGCCACCGUAAGGUGAGAGGAAGGUGGGGAUGACGUCAAAUCAGCACGGCCCUUAUGUCCAGGGCUACACACGUGUUACAAUGGUCGGUACAGAGGGCAGCUACCUGGUGACAGGAUGCUAAUCUCGAAAACCGGUCUCAGUUCGGAUCGAAGUCUGCAACUCGACUUCGUGAAGCUGGAUUCGCUAGUAAUCGCGCAUCAGCUAUGGCGCGGUGAAUACGUUCCCGGGCCUU
RNAcentral lists this ribosomal RNA (453 nucleotides) under uncultured Sphingobacteriales bacterium. RNAcentral's name for it is "bacterial SSU rRNA". It matches the Rfam family "Bacterial small subunit ribosomal RNA", at positions 925 to 1382 of the family's 1533-position model. Lineage: Bacteria; Pseudomonadati; Bacteroidota; Sphingobacteriia; Sphingobacteriales. The record is from RNAcentral.